RNAcentral lists this transfer RNA (74 nucleotides) under SAR202 cluster bacterium. Its description in RNAcentral is "tRNA-Gln". It matches the Rfam family "tRNA". From Rfam's summary of the family: Transfer RNA (tRNA) molecules are approximately 80 nucleotides in length. Their secondary structure includes four short double-helical elements and three loops (D, anti-codon, and T loops). Further hydrogen bonds mediate the characteristic L-shaped molecular structure. tRNAs have two regions of fundamental functional importance: the anti-codon, which is responsible for specific mRNA codon recognition, and the 3' end, to which the tRNAs corresponding amino acid is attached (by aminoacyl-tRNA synthetases). tRNAs cope with the degeneracy of the genetic code in two manners: having more than one tRNA (with a specific anti-codon) for a particular amino acid; and 'wobble' base-pairing, i.e. permitting non-standard base-pairing at the 3rd anti-codon position. The record is from RNAcentral. Lineage: Bacteria; Bacillati; Chloroflexota; Dehalococcoidia.
UGCGGAAUCGUCUAAUGGUAGGACACGCGGCUCUGGACCGCGGAGUCUAGGUUCGAAUCCUAGUUCCGCAGCCA